RNAcentral lists this small nucleolar RNA (139 nucleotides) under Oryza punctata. Its description in RNAcentral is "Small nucleolar RNA Z247". It matches the Rfam family "Small nucleolar RNA Z247". From Rfam's summary of the family: Z247 is a member of the C/D class of snoRNA which contain the C (UGAUGA) and D (CUGA) box motifs. The record is from Rfam by way of RNAcentral. Lineage: Eukaryota; Viridiplantae; Streptophyta; Magnoliopsida; Poales; Poaceae.
CCUAUGGAUGAAGAAGAUUUAGUUGCUUAUGUUUUAAAUGGAUUAGAUGAUGAUUUUGAACCCAUUGUAUCUGCUAUUGUGGCAAAGAACGAAUCUGUCACAAUGGCGGAAGUAUAUUCUCAAUUGCUUAAUUUUGAGA